This 329-nucleotide unclassified non-coding RNA is filed under the name Inocybe sp. SB72. Its description in RNAcentral is "sequence contains 18S rRNA gene, ITS1, 5.8S rRNA gene, ITS2 and 28S rRNA gene". The stretch from base 238 to 329 matches the Rfam family "5.8S ribosomal RNA", at positions 1 to 91 of the family's 154-position model. The record is from RNAcentral. Lineage: Eukaryota; Fungi; Basidiomycota; Agaricomycetes; Agaricales; Inocybaceae.
AGAGGUUAUCGAUGAAGAUGGUAGGGUGGUGCUGGUAACAUGAGAAAAGGGGGGCUUGGGGGGGAAUAAAUCUCCAACGGGGCACACCAGGCGAGCCUUUUGGGGGGGGGGAGAUCGUUCCGAGAGUGGACUGCUGUGCUUCAUAGAGGUCGGCUUUCCCUUUCCUAUAAAAAAAAGGUCUAUGUCACACAACCUCUUGAAUGUGAUGGGGGAAGUCCAAUAACAUUUAUAAAAUACAACUUUCAGCAACGGAUCUCUUGGCACUCGCAUCGAUGAAGAACGCACAGAAAUGCUAUGAGGAACGUGAAUUGCACGGGGGGGGGGAGUCG